Long non-coding RNA from Rattus norvegicus (Norway rat), 3363 nucleotides. RefSeq lists it as uncharacterized. NCBI's taxonomy places the organism in Eukaryota, Metazoa, Chordata, Mammalia, Rodentia, Muridae. The record is from RefSeq and is a predicted model, not a curated record.
GAAGGACGCCUAUUCCAUUGUCCGCGGAAGGAAGAGGAAAGAAAGGGCGAGGUUCUCUGUGGGGCGUGGGCCAGGUGGCAGGAAACGGAGGACGUGCCUGUCUAAUGGCCCAGUUGGUUUUUUUGUUUGUUUUGUUUUGUUUACUGAGAGAACUCACCCUGAUCUUCUUCAGGACCACACACAGUCAGGUGAGGUGGGACGUACUGGAAAUGACUGGAAUCGGUUCCUGCAAGGGCACACUGUUUUGGCAAGCGGCCAGAACAAGGAAACCAAGAAGGCACCUGCAUCGGUACUUCCGGGGAGCAUCCCAAGCACCCAGGUGGGUCUUGAACUCUCCGUGCAGCUUGGACUUCUGCUCUUCCUGCCCCCACAGAACUCACGUGGCUCUCUGAUUACUCAGACUCCCUCUGGCUAAGGAAGUCUCUGCACAGCCCUGAAGAGUGUCCUGGAACUGUCGUUACAGGUGGUUGUGAGCUGCCUGAGGUGGGAGCUGGGAACCGAAUCCUGGUCCUCUCGAGGAGCAACAUGUGCUCUUAAUCACGGGGCCGUCUCUCCGGUUCCACCUCUAGAUGUUUCUAAGUCGGCAUCCAUCCGUAGUUGCGAAUGUCUGCUGACACUGGGCAUCCCUCAAGGUGGCAGACGCCCUCUGAUUCCUCUGUCUGGAGUGCCUUCUAUUGAAGCUCCAUGGUCCAUUAGAACCCAACCCUAUGUUUGUCGCCUCAGCCGCUUAGGUCAAAAGCUGGGAGUGGUCUCCAACUGCUGCCCUGAGAGUUCCCCCACUUACCUCCUCUCUGCCGCAUCCACCCAGCCUCCAAUCCCUCUCACCUGCACAGGCCGAGUAGCACACGGCCUGGUCUCUCUGCUUUCCAUACCCACUCAACCCCUCCACCUCCCCCAAGCCAAGCCCAUUCUCCAUGUAGCAGCUUAAAGUUCAAAACAGCACCUUGUCAGAAGCUGCCUAAAACCUAUCUAUGUCCUCGCUGGAAUUAUACUAAGUUCCAAAUGCCCCAGGCAACCAGCAUCUAGAUCUUCCUCCACCCUUACCUUUCCACAGUCUUCUGUCUCAGACCCCUUGCUUUGAUGUCCUCAACAUGGUUGGCGCCUUUGCACCCCAGGGGCUUGGUCAUUGCUGUUCCCUCACCCUGCCCAAGUCAUCCCUCCAGUCACCUUCUCCGAACUGUGCAUUCUCUUCUUGUCUCUGCCAUUCUCACACUGCGUGCGAGCAUCUUUUGCUGUUGAAUAGCCUUCAUGUUUUUUUUUUAAUUUACGUUUUGUAUUCAGAAUACAAGUCUGUCUCCAACAACUUGAGUGUCAGCUCUGAUGAGGAAGAAUAUUCAGCCAUGUAACCCCCUGCCCCCUCCAUUAGAACUCUUAUAGAAGGAAGGAAUGUGUCUCCCAGAGGAUUCAUGAGGGCAGGGACCUUUCUACCUGGUCAGCCACCGUACUAAUCUGGUGUCUGGUGCACGUGAUGGGAUUACUCAGGAGCAGGCCGAACAGAUGAGAUCAUCUUCAAACCUAAUUCUAGGACUUCGGCACCCAUCAUUUCUUUCUCUUCAGACUUGAAAUUUGUCUCAUUUCUCAGCUUUGAGACAGUACACAGCUGAAACCAAAAAACUGUGGAAUAUUUGCGGGAAAAGACUAUCAUGGUCAAGUCCUAGGAGAUAGGCUUCUGAGCUCAGGGCAUAGGAUCUGGAAUUAGGAAGACCUAUCACUGCAUUAAAAAAGAAUGCUGGGCUCUCUGUGUUUCAACGGGGUUGGGGUGAGGGGGGAGCUGCAGGCAUCCUUAGGGAUGCCCAGGUCUUCCUCCUGCCUUAGUGAGCCCCUGGCCUCUCAAAUACCCUUCAGUAUCUGCUAAGCCCACCUGAGGGGGAAUCUGUUUGCUCUGCUCAUCGGGAGGGGCCUCUCUUGUGUUUAUAUCACCUUUUAACAGAUUUAUUUAUUUUAAAGUGUGUGUGAGAGGGGGGAGGGGGAGGGAAGAGAGAGACAGAGAUGAGAGAGAGAGAGAGAGAGAGAGAGAGAGAGAGAGAGAGAGAGAGAGAGAGUCCUUCAGAGGCCAGAAGAGGGCAUUAGAUCUUGGAGUUAGAGUUACAGGAUGUUGACAACCAGCCAUCACACCAAACUCAGGUCUUCUGCAAGGGCACUAUUGGCAUCUUGUCUAUAAAAACACAACAGGCAGGACUUGCCCUCAGUGGCUAUGCUACCUCUCCAGCCCCUACUUAUAUAGUCUUUGAACUCACACUGGAAUUCUUUAAAGUUUUUAAAACAUACCUAAUGUCUGUAGGAUUCACAACUCUUGGUGAGAGGUUUAAGCCCUUGCACCUGUUCAUUACCAGGCCCUCCACUCUCUCUAGUUCAGAUUCUCAGCCUGCAUGGGCCUGGUCUUAGUCUCCAUGGCCUCUCCCACAGAGUCCUUGGUGUUUUGAGACAGGGUCUCCUCCUUACCGUGUCCUUAAAUUCAUGAUCCUUCUGCUUCUACCUCCCUGGUGCUGGGAUUAGGGCUGUGUGUACCAACGCACUCCAUUUAUGCAGUGCUGGGGAUGGAGACCAGAGCGUUGUACAUGCUAAGCACACAAUCUACCCACUGAACCACAUGCCCAGCCUAGCCCUGUCUGCCUUGAGUCUUUCCUGGCAAGCCUUGUUCCCAGCUAGGGCAGCAUUCUGCCUCCUGCACCAGGAGCAAUGCUUCCCCACAGGGACAGGUGUCCCUUGUUGGGGACUCAGAUCCACCACCAUCCUACCAGACUCCACUUCCCCCUCUCAUGUCUUUCCUGGCCUCAGUCUUACUCAGCUCCUGGGUCUUGGUUCAAACAUCACUCCCAGAUUCUAUGACGCCCGCACCACAGUGAGCUGGGCGCCCCACCUCUAGGCUCCCUUCUGAACUCUCACAAUGGCAACAGUGGCAUGUAACCCUCUGGUUCUGACUUGUCAGUGCCUGCGCCUGCUUCCUUCACCAGCGGGAGAGCCCACUGAGGGCAGGGACCAGAGCUGAGUCAGUUAUUUCCUCAGCAUCCUAGGUUGGGCCAGGCUCUGCGAGAUGUUAAGAAAUGUCUGCAACCAAGAUUCUUAUCAUCCCCUGCUGGGAGCGCUUCAGGGCUUGCUUCUGCAUCUCAACCCCUGCCCCUCACACUCUCUCCUCUAUCGCCUCUGUCCUGUCCUCCAGUCUCAGAUUCUAGGCUCGCCAUUCCCUCCUCCAGGAGCACUUUCCAGCAGUCAGCCAAGCACUGUCCCACUUUGCCUGGUUCUCUGCUGGGAUAGGGCAGUCUCCCUCAGGCCACUCCUUUUCUGCUUAAAUGGACAGGAUGCAAUCCCCACCGACACCUGUCAGAUUACAUUCCGCUGUGUGUACCUUCUCUUUACCUCUUC